UACGUAGGGGGCAAGCGUUGUCCGGAAUCACUGGGCGUAAAGCGCGUGUAGGCGGCCUGCUAAGUCUGAUGUGAAAGCCCGAGGCUCACCCUCGGAAGUGCAUUGGAAACUGGCAGACUGGAGUCCCGGAGAGGAGGGUGGAAUUCCUGGUGUAGCGGUGAAAUGCGUAGAUAUCAGGAGGAACACCGGUGGCGAAGGCGGCCCUCUGGACGGUGACUGACGCUGAGACGCGAAAGCGUGGGGAGCAAACGGG
This 253-nucleotide ribosomal RNA is filed under the name uncultured bacterium. RNAcentral's name for it is "partial 16S ribosomal RNA". It matches the Rfam family "Bacterial small subunit ribosomal RNA", at positions 524 to 776 of the family's 1533-position model. The record is from RNAcentral.